This 253-nucleotide ribosomal RNA is filed under the name uncultured bacterium. Its description in RNAcentral is "partial 16S ribosomal RNA". It matches the Rfam family "Bacterial small subunit ribosomal RNA", at positions 524 to 776 of the family's 1533-position model. The record is from RNAcentral.
UACAGAGGUCUCAAGCGUUGUUCGGAUUCAUUGGGCGUAAAGGGUGCGUAGGCGGCGCGGUAAGUCGGGUGUGAAAUCUCGGGGCUUAACUCCGAAACUGCAUUCGAUACUGCCGUGCUUGAGGACUGGAGAGGAGACUGGAAUUUACGGUGUAGCGGUGAAAUGCGUAGAUAUCUGGAGGAACACCGGUGGCGAAGGCGGCGUUCUGGACUGCAACUGACACUGAGGAACGAAAGCCAGGGGAGCAAACGGG